UAAUAAGUGUUUUAUGGCACUUUUUAAAUCCAUAUCCACCUUGUGUGCAAUGUCGGUCGAUCUUCUUCAUGGAGAUCGACCAAACAUCAACCUUUAUCUUUUAACUCUUUGUCUGAAAAAUAUUAUGAAUAAACAAUUCAAAAUACAACUUUCAACAACGGAUCUCUUGGCUCUCGCAUCGAUGAAGAACGCAGCGGAAUGCGAUACGUAAUGUGAAUUGCAGAAUUCAGUGAAUCAUCGAAUCUUUGAACGCAUAUUGCGCUCUUUGGUAUUCCGAAGAGCAUGCUUGUUUGAGUACCAGUAAACACCUCAAAGCUUUUGGAUUUUUUAAUCGAAAAGCUUUGGACUUGAGCAAUCCCAACACCAAUCUUUUUGAGAUCGGUGGCGGGUUGCUUGAAAUGCAGGUGCAGCUGGACAUUCUCCUGAGCUAAAAGCAUAUUCAUUUAGUCCCGUCAAACGGAUUAUUACUUUUGCUGCAGCUAACAUAAAGGGAGUUUGACCGUAUUGGCUGACUGAUGCAGGAUUUCACAAGGGUCGGCAACGAUUCUUGUUAAACUCGAUCUCAAAUCAAGUAAGACUACCCGCUGAACUUAAGCAUAUCAAUAAGCGGAGGAAUCGUACGCUUGGUCAUUUAGAGGAAGUAAAAGUCGUAACAAGGUUUCCGUAGGUGAACCUGCGGAAGGAUCAUUAAAAGAUAUAGCAUAUUCUUCUGAAUAUACUUUAUUAACCCAUUCCGAGUACCUUACCCGUUGCUUCCGCGAGGCUGUCCUCACGGCCCUCUGAAGAUUUAUCUUUGGGGAGUCCUUGCGGAAGGUAUACAAUAAACUCUUGCAUUACCAUGUCAUCUGUCUGAAUCUGUUUAAAACAAAUAUUA
Molecule: unclassified non-coding RNA, 874 nt
Filed under: soil metagenome
Description: partial contains internal transcribed spacer 1, 5.8S ribosomal RNA, and internal transcribed spacer 2
Rfam family: 5.8S ribosomal RNA (bases 147-300)
Source: RNAcentral